CAAGAGAGCCAGACGAUCGCCGGUCGUGCUCGCAAGAGCAGGGCGGGAGGAAAGUCCGAACUCCGCAGGGCAGUGCGCCGGGUAACGCCCGGUCGGGGCAACUCGAAGGACCAGUGGCACAGAAAACAUACCGCCUCGAGUGCCGGGUCGGGGGCCGGAAAGGGUGACAGUCACACUUUCCGGUCCGCGACCCGACACUCGGGGUAAGGGUGAAAAGGUGCGGUAAGAGCGCACCGCGCUCGUGGCAACACGGGUGGCAGGCAAAACCCCGCACGGAGCAAGGCCAAAUAGGGAGGCACGAGGCUCACGCUUCAUGGGACGGCCCGUCCCACGCUUCCGGGUAGGCUGCUGGAUCCCGUCAGCAAUGACGGGGCUAGAGGAAUGAUCGUCAUCUCGCCGCGGUCGCAAGGCCGCGGCGAGGCACAGAAUUCGGCUUACGGCUCUCUCGGCGG
This 452-nucleotide RNase P RNA is filed under the name Acidobacteriota bacterium. Its description in RNAcentral is "Bacterial RNase P class A". It matches the Rfam family "Bacterial RNase P class A". Rfam says of the family: Ribonuclease P (RNase P) is a ubiquitous endoribonuclease, found in archaea, bacteria and eukarya as well as chloroplasts and mitochondria. The record is from Rfam by way of RNAcentral. Lineage: Bacteria; Pseudomonadati; Acidobacteriota.